GACUAACGCUGGCGGCGUGCCUAACACAUGCAAGUCGAACGAGGUAGCAAUACCUAGUGGCAGACGGGUGAGUAACGCGUAGGUAAUGUGCCCUCCUGCGGGGGAUACCGUUCCGAAAGGGACGUUAAUACCGCAUAACAUGCUUCAGGGGCAUCUUUGGAGCAUCAAACUUCCGGGGUAGGGGGAGCAGCCUGCGUUCUAUCAGCUUGUUGGUGAGGUAAUGGCUCACCAAGGCUACGACGGAGAACUGGUCUGAGAGGAUGACCAGUCACACUGGGACUGAGACACGGCCCAGACUCCUACGGGAGGCAGCAGUGAGGAAUAUUGCGCAAUGGGCGAAAGCCUGACGCAGCGACGCCGCGUGGAGGAUGAAGGCCCUCGGGUUGUAAACUCCUGUCAGUGGGGAAGAGAACGGACGGUACCCACUGAGGAAGCUUCGGCUAACUACGUGCCAGCCGCCGCGGUAA
This 467-nucleotide ribosomal RNA is filed under the name uncultured bacterium. RNAcentral's name for it is "partial 16S ribosomal RNA". It matches the Rfam family "Bacterial small subunit ribosomal RNA", at positions 28 to 523 of the family's 1533-position model. The record is from RNAcentral.